CGUGUCGUGAGAUGUUGGGUUAAGUCCCGUAACGAGCGCAACCCUUAUGACUAGUUGCCAGCAUUCAGUUGGGCACUCUAGUAAGACUGCCGGUGACAAACCGGAGGAAGGUGGGGACGACGUCAAAUCAUCAUGCCCCUUAUGACCUGGGCUACACACGUGCUACAAUGGAUGGUACAACGAGUUGCGAACCCGCGAGGGCAAGCUAAUCUCUUAAAGCCAUUCUCAGUCCGGACUGUAGGCUGCAACUCGCCUACACGAAGUCGGAAUCGCUAGUAAUCGCGGAUCAGCAUGCCGCGGUGAAUACGUUCCCGGGCCUUGUACACACCGCCCGUCACACCAUGAGAGUUUGUAACACCCGAAGCCGGUGGGGUAACCUUUUAGGAGCUAGCCGUCUAAGGUGGGACAGAUGAUUAGGGU
RNAcentral lists this ribosomal RNA (420 nucleotides) under uncultured bacterium. Its description in RNAcentral is "bacterial SSU rRNA". It matches the Rfam family "Bacterial small subunit ribosomal RNA", at positions 1061 to 1481 of the family's 1533-position model. The record is from RNAcentral.